Long non-coding RNA from Myotis lucifugus (little brown bat), 1116 nucleotides. RefSeq lists it as uncharacterized. The record is from RefSeq and is a predicted model, not a curated record. The transcript is spliced from 5 exons. Lineage: Eukaryota; Metazoa; Chordata; Mammalia; Chiroptera; Vespertilionidae.
GGAGAAAAGAGCCUAUGAUCCUCAUAGUAGAUGUAACGUCCUCUACAGAAGAGGACGUUAAUGCUAACAAAAGGUGCACAGAGGAAAGGCUAUGUGAGAAAACAGCAAAGAGGUGGUGUCUGCAAGCCUUUAGAGACCUCACUGAAAACCAACCCUGGCACCUCGAUCUUGGACUUGUAGCCUCCCUAUUGGCUUUAACCACUGUCAAGUUUUGUCACCCUGGACCCUGCCUGUCAUACUCAAGUCUCUAAAAAAAAGCCAUAAGGAAAUCUCCAGCCAGAGGUACCACCUUUAUUACAAGGUAGCAUGUUGUUCUGAAUCUCUAUCUCCUCUUUGCAAACAGAUGAUCAAGCUAGCCCGGGAUGUGACUCUUCUCAAGUAAUCAUCCAAAAACCUAGGUUGGUGGCCGCUCUCCCAUCCAUUAAUAGAAAUUCUAAGAGAACAGCCUUCCUUUAAAAUCAAGAGCUAAGGAAGGAGGAUCAUGUAAUGAUGCAGAAACAUUUUGAGGAAGAGAAGAAAGACAUUGAAAUGGUCACAUUGGACCUUCUCAAUCUUUUAUACUUCAUAGGAGGACUCAGGAGACAGAAGACAGGAAAAGCUCUUUCCCAACACAGAGCCUUUGAGUUGUUUCCCUCUGCCUUCAGCUCUGUCCCUACAACAAGGAACAAAAUGGACAACAAGGAGCAAAGAUGGCCACAGAAAUAUCUCUCAACACAUGUGUUCUUUUUACAAAGAAACCUCAAAAUUCCUCCAUUAAGAGGUGGAAUCUAUGGGUGCUCUGCCUCUCAGGAGCACGCCAGCGCCUUUCCCUGCCCCCUUUUCUUCCCCCCUUCCUUUACCUUCCUCUCUCCUACGCUCCAAGGGCCCUUCUGCCUCCAUAACUUGUUGUAGCUGGCUCACUUCUACUACCUCUGUAACUUUUGAAAUAACUUUCUCUUAUAACUUGAAAAAAGAAAAAAAGGAAAAGAGGUGGAAUCUAUGUUCCCACCCUUUGAACCUAGGUGGGCCUCUAUAAGAGAAUCCAGAAGUAUAAUCCCAUACUUUGGGAUCAUAGCCAUUUACAUGCUAAUCUACUCCAAAGUGAGGUAGGAGAGUGAGGGAGGAUCUAAUGUUGGA